This 497-nucleotide ribosomal RNA is filed under the name uncultured bacterium. RNAcentral's name for it is "partial 16S ribosomal RNA". It matches the Rfam family "Bacterial small subunit ribosomal RNA", at positions 28 to 507 of the family's 1533-position model. The record is from RNAcentral.
GAUGAACGCUGGCGGCGUGCCUAAUACAUGCAAGUCGAGCGAACAGAUGAGGAGCUUGCUCCUCUGACGUUAGCGGCGGACGGGUGAGUAACACGUGGAUAACCUACCUAUAAGACUGGGAUAACUUCGGGAAACCGGAGCUAAUACCGGAUAAUAUAUUGAACCGCAUGGUUCAAUAGUGAAAGACGGUUUUGCUGUCACUUAUAGAUGGAUCCGCGCCGCAUUAGCUAGUUGGUAAGGUAACGGCUUACCAAGGCAACGAUGCGUAGCCGACCUGAGAGGGUGAAUGGCCACACUGGAACUGAGACACGGUCCAGACUCCUACGGGAGGCAGCAGUAGGGAAUCUUCCGCAAUGGGCGAAAGCUUGACGGAGCAACGCCGCGUGAGUGAUGAAGGUCUUCGGAUCGUAAAACUCUGUUAUUAGGGAAGAACAAAUGUGUAAGUAACUAUGCACGUCUUGACGGUACCUAAUCAGAAAGCCACGGCUAACUACGUG